GAUGAACGCUGGCGGCGUGCCUAAUACAUGCAAGUCGAGCGAACAGACGAGGAGCUUGCUCCUCUGACGUUAGCGGCGGACGGGUGAGUAACACGUGGAUAACCUACCUAUAAGACUGGGAUAACUUCGGGAAACCGGAGCUAAUACCGGAGAAUAUAUUGAACCGCAUGGUUCAAUAGUGAAAGACGGUUUUGCUGUCACUUAUAGAUGGAUCCGCGCGGCAUUAGCUAGUUGGUAAGGUAACGGCUUACCAAGGCAACGAUGCGUAGCCGACCUGAGAGGGUGAUCGGCCACACUGGAACUGAGACACGGUCCAGACUCCUACGGGAGGCAGCAGUAGGGAAUCUGCCGCAAUGGGCGAAAGCCUGACGGAGCAACGCCGCGUGAGUGAUGUAGGUCUUCGGAUCGUAAAACUCUGUUAUUAGGGAAGAACAAAUGUGUAAGUAACUAUGCACGUCUUGACGGUACCUAAUCAGAAAGCCACGGCUAACUACGUG
RNAcentral lists this ribosomal RNA (497 nucleotides) under uncultured bacterium. RNAcentral describes it as "partial 16S ribosomal RNA". It matches the Rfam family "Bacterial small subunit ribosomal RNA", at positions 28 to 507 of the family's 1533-position model. The record is from RNAcentral.